Molecule: ribosomal RNA, 254 nt
Filed under: uncultured bacterium
Lineage: Bacteria
Description: partial 16S ribosomal RNA
Rfam family: Bacterial small subunit ribosomal RNA
Source: RNAcentral
UACGGAGGGUGCGAGCGUUGUCCGGAAUCACUGGGCGUAAAGGGCGCGUAGGCGGCCACCGCAAGUCGAUUGUGAAAUCUCCGGGCUUAACUCGGAAAGGUCAACCGAUACUGCGGGGCUAGAGUGCAGAAGGGGCAACUGGAAUUCUCGGUGUAGCGGUGAAAUGCGUAGAUAUCGAGAGGAACACCUGCGGCGAAGGCGGGUUGCUGGGCUGACACUGACGCUGAUGUGCGAAAGCGAGGGGAGCAAACAGG